This 2424-nucleotide ribosomal RNA is filed under the name Campylobacter coli. RNAcentral's name for it is "partial 23S ribosomal RNA". It matches the Rfam family "Bacterial large subunit ribosomal RNA", at positions 663 to 2925 of the family's 2925-position model. The record is from RNAcentral. Lineage: Bacteria; Pseudomonadati; Campylobacterota; Epsilonproteobacteria; Campylobacterales; Campylobacteraceae.
AAGCCGUAGCGAAAGCGAGUCUGAAUAGGGCGCUUAGUCAGAUGCUGCAGACCCGAAACGAAGUGAUCUAUCCAUGAGCAAGUUGAAGCUAGUGUAAGAACUAGUGGAGGACUGAACCCAUAGGCGUUGAAAAGCCCCGGGAUGACUUGUGGAUAGGGGUGAAAGGCCAAUCAAACUUCGUGAUAGCUGGUUCUCUCCGAAAUAUAUUUAGGUAUAGCGUUGUGUCGUAAUAUAAGGGGGUAGAGCACUGAAUGGGCUAGGGCAUACACCAAUGUACCAAACCCUAUCAAACUCCGAAUACCUUAUAUGUAAUCACAGCAGUCAGGCGGCGAGUGAUAAAAUCCGUCGUCAAGAGGGAAACAACCCAGACUACCAGCUAAGGUCCCUAAAUCUUACUUAAGUGGAAAACGAUGUGAAGUUACUUAAACAACCAGGAGGUUGGCUUAGAAGCAGCCAUCCUUUAAAGAAAGCGUAAUAGCUCACUGGUCUAGUGAUUUUGCGCGGAAAAUAUAACGGGGCUAAAGUAAGUACCGAAGCUGUAGACUUGCGCACAACUUAGAUUAUUUAAGUUUAGAAUAUGAGAAACUAAGUUAUAUGUUUAGUUAUAUUUUUACUGAUUUUUAUAGAGUAAAGAUAGAAAUAAAACUUAGUAAAAUCAGUAAAAAUAUUCUUAGACUAAAGUUAAGUAGUUUAAGUUGUGUGCAAGUGGUAGGAGAGCGUUCUAUUUGCGUCGAAGGUAUACCGGUAAGGAGUGCUGGAGCGAAUAGAAGUGAGCAUGCAGGCAUGAGUAGCGAUAAUUAAUGUGAGAAUCAUUAACGCCGUAAACCCAAGGUUUCCUACGCGAUGCUCGUCAUCGUAGGGUUAGUCGGGUCCUAAGUCGAGUCCGAAAGGGGUAGACGAUGGCAAAUUGGUUAAUAUUCCAAUACCAACAUUAGUGUGCGAUGGAAGGACGCUUAGGGCUAAGGGGGCUAGCGGAUGGAAGUGCUAGUCUAAGGUCGUAGGAGGUUAUACAGGCAAAUCCGUAUAACAAUACUCCGAGAACUGAAAGGCUUUUUGAAGUCUUCGGAUGGAUAGAAGAACCCCUGAUGCCGUCGAGCCAAGAAAAGUUUCUAAGUUUAGCUAAUGUUGCCCGUACCGUAAACCGACACAGGUGGGUGGGAUGAGUAUUCUAAGGCGCGUGGAAGAACUCUCUUUAAGGAACUCUGCAAAAUAGCACCGUAUCUUCGGUAUAAGGUGUGGUUCGCUUCGUAUUAGGAUUUACUCCGAAAGCGAAGAAACUUACAACAAAGAGUCCCUCCCGACUGUUUACCAAAAACACAGCACUCUGCUAACUCGUAAGAGGAUGUAUAGGGUGUGACGCCUGCCCGGUGCUCGAAGGUUAAUUGAUGGGGUUAGCAUUAGCGAAGCUCUUGAUCGAAGCCCGAGUAAACGGCGGCCGUAACUAUAACGGUCCUAAGGUAGCGAAAUUCCUUGUCGGUUAAAUACCGACCUGCAUGAAUGGCGUAACGAGAUGGGAGCUGUCUCAAAGAGGGAUCCAGUGAAAUUGUAGUGGAGGUGAAAAUUCCUCCUACCCGCGGCAAGACGGAGAGACCCCGUGGACCUUUACUACAGCUUGACACUGCUAUUUGGAUAAGAAUGUGCAGGAUAGGUGGGAGGCUUUGAGUAUAUGACGCCAGUUGUAUAUGAGCCAUUGUUGAGAUACCACUCUUUCUUAUUUGGGUAGCUAACCAGCUUGAGUUAUCCUCAAGUGGGACAAUGUCUGGUGGGUAGUUUGACUGGGGCGGUCGCCUCCCAAAUAAUAACGGAGGCUUACAAAGGUUGGCUCAGAACGGUUGGAAAUCGUUCGUAGAGUAUAAAGGUAUAAGCCAGCUUAACUGCAAGACAUACAAGUCAAGCAGAGACGAAAGUCGGUCUUAGUGAUCCGGUGGUUCUGUGUGGAAGGGCCAUCGCUCAAAGGAUAAAAGGUACCCCGGGGAUAACAGGCUGAUCUCCCCCAAGAGCUCACAUCGACGGGGAGGUUUGGCACCUCGAUGUCGGCUCAUCGCAUCCUGGGGCUGGAGCAGGUCCCAAGGGUAUGGCUGUUCGCCAUUUAAAGCGGUACGCGAGCUGGGUUCAGAACGUCGUGAGACAGUUCGGUCCCUAUCUGCCGUGGGCGUAAGAAGAUUGAAGAGAUUUGACCCUAGUACGAGAGGACCGGGUUGAACAAACCACUGGUGUAGCUGUUGUUCUGCCAAGAGCAUCGCAGCGUAGCUAAGUUUGGAAAGGAUAAACGCUGAAAGCAUCUAAGCGUGAAGCCAACUCUAAGAUGAAUCUUCUCUAAGCUCUCUAGAAGACUACUAGUUUGAUAGGCUGGGUGUGUAAUGGAUGAAAGUCCUUUAGCUGACCAGUACUAAUAGAGCGUUUGGCUUAUCUUUAAUAAAGCAU